AACGAACGCUGGCGGCAUGCCUAACACAUGCAAGUCGAACGAGACCUUCGGGUCCAGUGGCGCACGGGUGCGUAACGCGUGGGAACCUGCCUUUAGGUUCGGAAUAACUCAGAGAAAUUUGAGCUAAUACCGGAUGAUGUCUUCGGACCAAAGAUUUAUCGCCUUUAGAUGGGCCCGCGUUGGAUUAGCUAGUUGGUGGGGUAAAGGCCUACCAAGGCGACGAUCCAUAGCUGGUCUGAGAGGAUGAUCAGCCACACUGGGACUGAGACACGGCCCAGACUCCUACGGGAGGCAGCAGUGGGGAAUAUUGGACAAUGGGCGAAAGCCUGAUCCAGCAAUGCCGCGUGAGUGAUGAAGGCCUUAGGGUUGUAAAGCUCUUUUACCCGAGAUGAUAAUGACAGUAUCGGGAGAAUAAGCUCCGGCUAACUCCGUG
This 433-nucleotide ribosomal RNA is filed under the name uncultured bacterium. RNAcentral's name for it is "partial 16S ribosomal RNA". It matches the Rfam family "Bacterial small subunit ribosomal RNA", at positions 29 to 507 of the family's 1533-position model. The record is from RNAcentral.